CACGUAGGGUGCGAGCGUUGUCCGGAAUUAUUGGGCGUAAAGAGCUCGUAGGCGGUUUGUCGCGUCGGUUGUGAAAACCCAAGGCUCAACCUUGGGCCUGCAAUCGAUACGGGCAGACUAGAGUACUGCAGGGGAGACUGGAAUUCCUGGUGUAGCGGUGGAAUGCGCAGAUAUCAGGAGGAACACCGGUGGCGAAGGCGGGUCUCUGGGCAGUAACUGACGCUGAGGAGCGAAAGCGUGGGGAGCGAACAGG
Molecule: ribosomal RNA, 253 nt
Filed under: uncultured bacterium
Lineage: Bacteria
Description: partial 16S ribosomal RNA
Rfam family: Bacterial small subunit ribosomal RNA
Source: RNAcentral